UUUUUGAAGGCCCAAUCAUGAAUAAAAAUGGUGAAGGCCCAGCUAUGGGUGAAAAUAGUACUAAUGGGGCGGGUAGCCCAUUAGUAAUUUAUAUUUCUUCUUCCCCUUUCUAUAAUUAUUUGUGGUAUGUUUUUUGGGUCUGUAAAAUUAAACCUUACUAUAAUGAAACCUUGUGGGAUGUAGACUUAGGAAUAUCACCUAGUUGGUAGGUAGUUAAAGAUAAAAGGGGAUCAAAUCUUUCAAUUUUGAAUUCAAAACCGAUUUUCAAAAGAAGCGGGAUAUUUGACUAAGUAGAACUAGGGCUGGGCAUAAAAUACCGAAAACCGAAUUACCGAACCGAACCGGCUAUUUCGGUAUUCGGUAAUUCGGUUCGGUAUUUCGGUUUCGAUAUUCGGUAUUUAAAAUUAUACCGUUCGGUAUUCGGUAAAUACCAAAUACCGAAAUUAAAUUACCAAUACUAUACGUCUGUAGGGCCUAAAGGAGUAAAGGGCUAAAGGCCCAUUGCAAAAAUAUUUUAAGUCCAGCCCAAAUCCGUAAAAAUCAAGUGUAAUCCCUAAGAGUCUUAAGAGUUAAGACCCUAACACUUCAGUACUUCACCACCUUCAUCUCAUUUCCCUUUCUAUUCAUCCAAAUCCUAACUGAGUAAAUAACUUAUUUCUCAUCCAAAGCCUGUGAUUUCUCCAUCUUAAUUUCUGAUUUUGCUCCAUUUUCGUACCUCCUUCUUCUUCUUCUUCCGUGUGGUGACUGCUGAAUUUUUGUUAUCCGUUGUUCUCUGUCUACUUACUUGGGUCCUUUCUUGAUUUGUUUUUUUUAUCUUGUGGUUCAUGUUGGGAGCUUGGGCCUUGGGGUAUUCAUCUAUUCAAUUCGUUUUCUUUUUGUAUUUCAUAUAUUGUUCAUGCUGAUGUGGGAAGGGCAUCGGGGAAUAUGGGUGUAGUCACACAGAAAAGGGAAAAUUUAAGUUGUUUUGGUUCUUUUUGUUUAAGUUGAAGAAAGGACAUAGGAGAAACAUAGUAUAACAAUUUAGAAAAUAGAACUUAUUUAAGCUUCUUUAAUAGCUUCCGUAUUGUAUUUUUUGAUUUUGUUUUACACUUCCAAUGCUUCGUUGUUGUUGUUUUUGGGAGAGAAAGAUAUGAAUGGAUAGUAUCCAUAGCAGUAGUAUUUGGGAGAGAAAGAAAGAAAGAUAUUUGUUAAAAUUGUCUCUUUCGUUUCUGGGAAAUUAAAUGGGUUGCAGAUUUUCUCCUUUUUUGUCUUUUUUCUUUUUGGGUGUGAUCAGUUGGGAUUUGCCUUAUCCCAUAAAUGUUGAAGAAGAUUUUAAUGAUCUUAUGAAACUUGAACUUGGUAUGUUUUUCAGUUUUUGUAUUUUAUUUUUAUAUUUUUUUACUUAGUUUAAUUGUUGACACAUUUUAAAUUCUUUUUAGAUAUGGCUGAUAGCUCAAAAGAUUCCCCCGUUCUUGAUUUGUAAUCGCAAGAUGCCUCAGGUAUAAGGCUCUGAAUUUUCAUUUGAUUAUUCCACAUUAUUUCCACCAGUACUUUUAACUUUUGAUAAUGCCAACUGCUGCAUCUUAACCUGCUUCUUCCCCUUGUUAGUUUGCCAUUUGUGUAAGUCUUUAACAUUGCUAAAAUAGGAGAGGCAGUGUAUGAAUGAAGAAUAGGCAAUGGACAAGAGAUGUAUGCCUCCGGUGUAAUUAUGAUAAGCUGAUGUGACAAAAAAUAGAGAAGCUGCAGGGCAUUGCACAUCCAGUAAGGAACAUGAAUCACUUUUUCAAGAUAAAGUAGAACCAUGUCCACUAAGUUGUUCUAUCUUCUAUGUGGAGAGUUCAAACAAUUGAAUACAGAGGAGACUGAAGCUUGCUCGAGGCUUUUGAGUAUGCGUCCUUUUGUUACAGAAAAUUCGAAGCUCUUAUAUGUUCUUAAGGGUGAAGUUGAGUGGUGUAAAACGUGGACCAGAAUUAUCCAUGGCAGACAAGUAAGCAGGGAGGAGACCCAGAUUUAUAGAAGGUGAUAAGCAGAGUUUUGAAAGCACUCCAUUAUUCCGGAGGUGCCAUUGAUUUACCAUUUUAUGUACAUAUAUGUUUUGAGCACGACGGGGUCCUGUCCCGUCCAUAUAUCUAGUACUCUAGUAGAGGCUCGUAGAUACGUAUGUGUGGGUAGUAUGGUCUCACGAUUUUGAUAAGUGUACAUAUAUUUAUGUAUGUGUAUUAUUUUGAUAGCCGAAGGGCUUAUGUAUAUAAAGGUAAUUA
Long non-coding RNA from Lycium barbarum (goji berry), 2240 nucleotides. RefSeq lists it as uncharacterized. The record is from RefSeq and is a predicted model, not a curated record. The transcript has 4 exons. NCBI's taxonomy places the organism in Eukaryota, Viridiplantae, Streptophyta, Magnoliopsida, Solanales, Solanaceae.